Molecule: ribosomal RNA, 479 nt
Filed under: Callistoctopus minor (long arm octopus)
Lineage: Eukaryota; Metazoa; Mollusca; Cephalopoda; Octopoda; Octopodidae
Description: partial 16S ribosomal RNA
Rfam family: Bacterial large subunit ribosomal RNA
Source: RNAcentral
GUUGGGCCUGCUCGGUGAGAAGAAAAAUUUAACAGCUGCGGUAUUAUAACUGUACUAAGGUAGCAUAAUAAUUUGCCUUAUAAAUUAAGGCUAGAAUGAAUGGUUUGACGAAAAUUAGACUGUCUUUAUUUUAUUUGUUAGAAAUUAAUUUUUAUAGUGAAAAAGCUUGAAUAAUUUAAGGGGACGAGAAGACCCUAUUGAGCUUUAUUUAUUAAUAUUUAAAUAUAAAUAUAUAAUUUAUAUUAUGAAAAUUAUGUUGUAUAUAUAUAUAUUUAAUUGGAUUUAAUUUUGAUUGGGGUGAUCAAGGAAUAAAGAUAAAGUAACUUCCUUAAAAUUAAUGAUUGUUUUUAUGGAGUAAUAAACCAAGUUUUUUGCUUAUAAGAUAAGUUACCAUAGGGGUAACAGCGUAAUUUUUUUUGAGAGUUCAUAUUGAAAAAAGAGAUUGCGACCUCGAUGUUGGAUUAAAAAUUACCUUAAGG